AUUGAACGCUGGCGGUAUGCCUAACACAUGCAAGUCGAACGAGGUAGCAAUACCUAGUGGCGGACGGGUGAGGAAUACGUAGGGAUCUGCCCUUAAGUGGGGAUAACCCGGGGAAACCCGGAUUAAUACCGCAUGAUCUCGCAAGAGCAAAGAGGGGGACCGCAAGGCCUCUCGCUUUUGGAGGAACCUACGUCGGAUUAGCUAGUUGGUGAGGUAAUGGCUCACCAAGGCGACGAUCCGUAACUGGUCUGAGAGGAUGAUCAGUCACACCGGAACUGAGACACGGUCCGGACUCCUACGGGAGGCAGCAGUGGGGAAUAUUGGACAAUGGGCGAAAGCCUGAUCCAGCAAUACCGCGUGUGUGAAGAAGGCC
Molecule: ribosomal RNA, 373 nt
Filed under: uncultured bacterium
Lineage: Bacteria
Description: bacterial SSU rRNA
Rfam family: Bacterial small subunit ribosomal RNA
Source: RNAcentral